This 153-nucleotide small RNA is filed under the name chicken gut metagenome. Its description in RNAcentral is "Clostridiales-1 RNA". It matches the Rfam family "Clostridiales-1 RNA". The record is from RNAcentral.
GAUGCCAGGGUCAAAAGGUAAAAUACCGUUCAUGCUUGCAUGAUAAGGUAUUUUGCCUUGGGACCCGCUAAACAUGAGGAAGUAACGAUUUACACAGUAAAUCUGUGGAUUCCGAAUGUUUAUAGUAUUGUAGCAUAAAAUGAGGAACGUUUC